CUUGGAAAUGAUCCUUGGUUCAGAGGGAAAGAAAGAAAGGAGUUGCAAUGCGUGAAGAAAUGCCAGCAGAGGCUGAUGCAUUGUCUUGGAGAGAUGGAGAGUGGAAUUUGUCAGGAUGUCUCUUGUACUAAUGCGGAAAAGUGCUGCAUGCAACACACGUGGAGAUUCAGUGACAAGAGAUUUAGACCAGUGUGUUCCUAACCAUCAGCUCUGAGCUAACAUCUGCUGCCAAUCCUCCUCUUUCUGCUGAGGAAGACUGGCCCUGAGCUAACAUCCGUGCCCAUCUUCCUCCACUUUAUAUGUGGGACGCCUGCCACGGCAUGGCUUGCCAAACAGUGCCAUGUCCGCACCUGGGAUCAGAACCGGUAAACCCUGGGCCACCGAAGUGGAAUGUGGGAACUUAACAGCUGUGCC
RNAcentral lists this long non-coding RNA (414 nucleotides) under Equus caballus (horse). RNAcentral describes it as "lncRNA (ENSECAG00000042387.2)". The record is from RNAcentral. Lineage: Eukaryota; Metazoa; Chordata; Mammalia; Perissodactyla; Equidae.